Bufo gargarizans (Asiatic toad) is the source of this 3816-nucleotide RNA transcript. It is a transcript of the gene named mannosidase alpha class 2B member 2, with no coding region annotated. The transcript has 20 exons. The record is from RefSeq and is a predicted model, not a curated record. NCBI's taxonomy places the organism in Eukaryota, Metazoa, Chordata, Amphibia, Anura, Bufonidae.
GCUUGCCGUCCACUCCCGGCUUCCGGGUUCUGGCGGCAGAAUGUGGCGGCUGCUGCUCGUCCUCCUCUCCGUGUGUGGAGCUGUCACCUCUGCAGACCCCAUUCAUGUCUUUGUCAUCCCCCACAGCCACAUGGACGUCGGCUGGGUGUAUACAGUGCAGGAGAGCAUGCAUGCCUACGCUGCCAACGUCUACACGACAGUAGUGGAAGAGCUGAUAAAGGCCAAGCAUCGGAGGUUUAUUGUGGUCGAGCAGGAAUUUUUUCGCUUGUGGUGGGAUACGGUGGCCGGAGAAUUUCAGAAGCAACAGGUGCAUCAGCUGGUACGGGAGGGACAAUUGGAGUUCAUUAUUGGGGGGCAAGUGAUGCAUGAUGAAGCCGUGACCACAGUGGACGAUCAGAUCAUACAGCUAACAGAGGGCCAUGGAUUUUUGUAUGAAACAUUUGGAGUAAGGCCCCAGUUUUCUUGGCACGUGGACCCCUUUGGAGCUUCUGCCACCUCACCUACCAUUUUCUCCAUGUCUGGAUUCAAUGCCCACCUUAUUUCCCGCAUUGAUUAUGACAGUAAGGCUGCCAUGCAGGAUUCCAAGAAGCUGCAGUUUGUUUGGCGAGGCUCUCGCUCCUUAUCUGAGAAGCAGGAGAUCUUUACGCAUGUCAUGGACCAGUUCAGUUACUGCACCCCUUCUUACCUGCCGUUUACCGACAGAUCCGGAUUUUAUUGGAAUGGAGUCGCUCUGUUUCCUGAUCCACCAAAGGAUGGUAUUUAUCCUAACAUGAGUCUCCCAGUUACAAGUGACAGCAUUCACCAGUAUGCAGAAACCAUGGUGAAGAACAUAAAGAUGCGAGCCGCCUGGUUUAGAAGCAAUGAUGUUUUGUGGCCCUGGGGGUGCGACAAGCAGUUCUUCAAUUCUUCUGUCCAGUUUAAUAACAUGGAUUUAUUACUGGAAUAUAUCAACAGUAAAGCAGAGUUUGGAGUGACUGUACAGUAUGCAACGCUUGGAGAAUAUUUUACAAAUUUAUACAACAGGAACAUAACCUGGGAGAUUCGAGGUAGUCAGGAUUUCCUCCCUUACUCUUCAGAUGUAUUUCAAGCCUGGACAGGAUUCUUUGCAUCCCGAAAUGUCCUUAAAGGGGUAGCGCGCAGAGCCAGCUCACUGCUGUAUGCGGGGGAGUCUGCAUUCACUCGGUAUCUGAUGAAGUAUCCAUCUGGUGCAGUCUGCAAGAUGUGGGCACUGGAACAACUGCGGGCUCUCAGAUGGGCUGUCUCAGAGGUCCAACAUCAUGAUGGCAUUACAGGCACAGAGUCUCCAAAGGUCAGAGAUAUGUACAUAGCGCACUUACAUGAAGGAAUGACUGGUGUACGAAAACUGAUGGAAGCCAUCGUUAUGGACCAGUUCAGCUAUGAGAAAACUGAACAUUCUGAAGGCCUCAUACAUAUUACUGUCUAUAACCCAUUGGCAUGGAACAUGACCACAUUUAUUAGCGUGGCGCUGAAUACCUCUGUCACAGCUGUGUACGAUGAGCUCGGUCAGCUUGUGCCAGCACAGAUCCACAACUCCAGUGAUCCCAGUCAUGCUUUUGAUCUGUAUGUGCUUGUUGUGCUGCCGGGUCUGGGCUAUAGGAGGUAUUUUAUAAAGUCAGAGAAUGCUGAGCCGCGUAAGGAGACAGUUCACAUGGGGAGACAGUCAUCACCUAGCAGAAAAAACAGCAGAAGCAGGAUGAUGCCUUUGUCCAACGACUGCUACACUCUAUGGAUAGACCUGAGCACUAACAUGCUUGUCAGCAUAACAGAUAGGGAGAGGAAUUACACAGUCCAGACUGCCCAGGAAUUUUUGGAAUACCAUGCAAAUGGGGAUACUGGUGCUGGGCCAAUAUCCGACAACUACAUGUUUUUUACAAAUGGAUAUGCUGCUUCAGUAGCCAAGUCUGUAGGGCUGGAGAUUGUGACUGGGACACUAGUGACUGAAAUCCGACAGUACUUUUACAGGGAUAUCAGCCAGCAGAGUUACAUGUAUGCCAUAUUCUCCAGACUUUACCAUGUCCCCGAUGGCUACGACAAGAUGCUGGCUUGUCGAGCCAUCGAGCAGCAGUACCGAGUUGGCCCUCUGGAGCUCAAUCGUGAAGCCAUCAUCAGAAUACAAACCAAUCUUCAGACCAGUAAGAGGAUUUACACAGAUGACAAUGCGUACCAGAUGCAAGCAAGAGAAUUCAAGAUCUACAAUAGUAACACAGUGGCAAGGAACUUUUACCCAAUGGUCCGUACAGCAUAUAUUGAAGAUGAGAAGACGAGACUUGUCCUGCUAUCUGAAAGAUCACAUGGAGUCUCCAGUCAAGAUAAUGGCCAAGUGGAGAUUAUGUUGCAUAGAAGAUUGUGGAACAACAUGGAAUGGGACCUGAACUACAAUCUUACACUGGAUGAUACCUCAGUAGUCAGGCCCACCAUCUGGCUCAUGGUAGGAUCCAAAGAAGUUACAGACUCUUUGUACCAGAGAUUGGGGCUGUGUUUGGAGCAUAAACCAUUGGUGAUGAUAAGUCCACAUACAGGGCAGUGGAAAAGCUGAGAAUCGAAUGGUGGAUGAUGUUCCAGUCACUUUGCCAGCCAAUAUUCACCUUCAGAUCCUAAGUAUUCCUGGAUGGAAAUAUUCUUCAGACCACACAGAGCAUAUACAUAAUGUGCAUAAAGGUAAAACACGAGAUGAUGCAGAUUUUAGCCGGAUAUUGUUAAGAUUGCAGCACCUGUAUGAAGCCGAUGAAGAUCCCAUACUCUCCAGGCCAGCUUCCAUAAAUAUCAAGCUUCUUCUUAAAGGACUGGGGUCUGUGAGAUUGGUGGAAGAACGCUCUCUUACUGGAACCUGGGACCUGACCACCAUGGAGAGAUGGAAGUGGAAGUCCACGCCGAGGAAAGACAGUGUUCUUCAGCGUCUUCACGUUCCGUGCCGUCAGUGAAUGAGGACACUAGUCCGGGCCCGCCACUGAGAAGUGGAUUCCAUUGUAUUCAGUGUAGUCUGCAGCUGCACAAAUCUCACUGAUGAUGAGAGGAUGCCUAUGAAAAGCAUGGAGGACUUUACAGUUGUUGUUUCACCGAAGGAAAUAAGAACUUUUUUUGUAUAUUUUCAAUAAGCACUAGCUCCUGUAGCAAGCAGAAAAUAGUUAUUAUAUGAUUGCUUUUGUACCAACCUGUUCUGCAGCCCCGAGGAUGUAAAUGGGUAUCUGGUGGUCUUCACUGGUAGCAUUGACCAUUGAUGACCUGGUGGCAAUGAAGCUUUUCUGUGGCCUUGAUUAUUUAUUAUUUCUCCUACUUUUAAGGGCUCAUGCACACGACUGCUGGCUGUUUUGCAGUCCUGAAAUUGCAGAUCCACAAAUCAUGGAUACCGGCCGCAUGCAUUCCGCAUUUUGUGGAAUGGAACGUCUGGCCUAUAAUAGAACUGUCCUAUGCUUGUCCGUAAUAUGGCGAAUAAUAGGACAUGUUCCAUUUUCUUUUGUGGAACAGCCAUCCAGACAUACGUAAACGCAAUGCACACAGAGUAAAUUCAGGUCUUUUUUAUGCGGAGCCAUUGAAGUGAAUGGAUCAACAUAUGGGCCGCAAAUCAAACAGCACGGAAAAAAAAUAUGUUCAGGUGCAUGAGCCCAAUGAGAUGUAUUAUGUUGUAAAAAAUGCUAUAAAUUGUAUAUUAUGUCUAUCAGGUGUUGAAACAAAUGUUUUUACAAUUACAUUUUUCUUCUAGAAUGUCUUUUUUACAUUAUAAUGAUUAGAUAGAAUGUCUCUAAUGAAGCUAAACAUAUUGUGGGGUUCAUUUAUAAAAACUGAAUUUUUAAAUAA